UACGAAGGGGGCUAGCGUUGCUCGGAAUGACUGGGCGUAAAGGGCGCGUAGGCGGCACUGUUAGUCAGGCGUGAAAGUCCUGGGCUCAACCUGGGAACUGCGCUUGAUACGGCAGAGCUAGAGGAUGGAAGAGGGUCGCGGAAUUCCCAGUGUAGAGGUGAAAUUCGUAGAUAUUGGGAAGAACACCGGUGGCGAAGGCGGCGACCUGGUCCAUUACUGACGCUGAGGCGCGACAGCGUGGGGAGCAAACAGG
RNAcentral lists this ribosomal RNA (253 nucleotides) under uncultured bacterium. RNAcentral describes it as "partial 16S ribosomal RNA". It matches the Rfam family "Bacterial small subunit ribosomal RNA", at positions 524 to 776 of the family's 1533-position model. The record is from RNAcentral.